This 253-nucleotide ribosomal RNA is filed under the name uncultured bacterium. Its description in RNAcentral is "partial 16S ribosomal RNA". It matches the Rfam family "Bacterial small subunit ribosomal RNA", at positions 524 to 776 of the family's 1533-position model. The record is from RNAcentral.
UACGUAGGGUGCAAGCGUUAAUCGGAAUUACUGGGCGUAAAGCGUGCGCAGGCGGUUAUGCAAGACAGAUGUGAAAUCCCCGGGCUUAACCUGGGAACUGCAUUUGUGACUGCAUGGCUGGAGUGCGGCAGAGGGGGAUGGAAUUCCGCGUGUAGCAGUGAAAUGCGUAGAUAUGCGGAGGAACACCGAUGGCGAAGGCAAUCCCCUGGGCCUGCACUGACGCUCAUGCACGAAAGCGUGGGGAGCAAACAAG